CAGGUUUACCUGUGUGACUGCGUACCUUUUGUAUAAUGGGUCAGCGACUUAUAUUCUGUAGCAAGGUUAACCGAAUAGGGGAGCCGGAGGGAAACCGAGUCUUAAUUGGGCGUUAAGUUGCAGGGUAUAGACCCGAAACCCGGUGAUCUAGCCAUGGGCAGGUUGAAGGUUGGGUAACACUAACUGGAGGACCGAACCGACUAAUGUUGAAAAAUUAGCGGAUGACCUGUGGCUGGGGGUGAAAGGCCAAUCAAACCGGGAGAUAGCUGGUUCUCCCCGAAAGCUAUUUAGGUAGCGCCUCGUGAAUUCAUCUCCGGGGGUAGAGCACUGUUUCGGCUAGGGGGCCAUCCCGGCUUACCAACCCGAUGCAAACUGCGAAUACCGGAGAAUGUUAUCACGGGAGACACACGGCGGGUGCUAACGUCCGUCGUGAAGAGGGAAACAACCCAGACCGCCAGCUAAGGUCCCAAAGUCAUGGUUAAGUGGGAAACGAUGUGGGAAGGCCCAGACAGCCAGGAUGUUGGCUUAGAAGCAGCCAUCAUUUAAAGAAAGCGUAAUAGCUCACUGGUCGAGUCGGCCUGCGCGGAAGAUGUAACGGGGCUAAACCAUGCACCGAAGCUGCGGCAGCGACGCUGAUGCGUUGUUGGGUAGGGGAGCGUUCUGUAAGCCUG
RNAcentral lists this ribosomal RNA (671 nucleotides) under Salmonella enterica subsp. enterica serovar Bovismorbificans. Its description in RNAcentral is "partial 23S ribosomal RNA". It matches the Rfam family "Bacterial large subunit ribosomal RNA", at positions 580 to 1251 of the family's 2925-position model. RNAcentral also lists the same sequence under 1 other name. Lineage: Bacteria; Pseudomonadati; Pseudomonadota; Gammaproteobacteria; Enterobacterales; Enterobacteriaceae. The record is from RNAcentral.